GGAAUCAAAUACACAGUAUUUACAGAAAAAAGUCUUCGUUUAUUGGGAAAGAAUCAAUAUACUUUUAAUGUCGAAUCGGGAUUCACUAAGACAGAAAUAAAGCAUUGGGUCGAACUCUUCUUUGGUGUUAAGGUGUUAGCUGUGAAUAGCCAUCAACUACCUGGAAAAGGUAGAAGAACAUUGAUAUAUACAUUUUGUCAUCUUAUUCGCAAAUUUCACAUUGGAGCCUUGGAGACAUAUCCAAAAUGUAUAUACGCCGAAGAUACACAGUAG
RNAcentral lists this ribosomal RNA (273 nucleotides) under Triticum aestivum (bread wheat). RNAcentral describes it as "partial small subunit ribosomal RNA". Lineage: Eukaryota; Viridiplantae; Streptophyta; Magnoliopsida; Poales; Poaceae. The record is from RNAcentral.